Molecule: small RNA, 123 nt
Filed under: Salmonella enterica subsp. enterica
Lineage: Bacteria; Pseudomonadati; Pseudomonadota; Gammaproteobacteria; Enterobacterales; Enterobacteriaceae
Description: RtT sRNA
Rfam family: RtT RNA
About the family: This family represents a bacterial cis-regulatory element known as RtT RNA. The exact function of RtT is unknown although it is thought that it may be involved in changing the cellular response in relation to amino acid starvation.
Source: RNAcentral
UUCUACCCGUAAUGGGGAAGGAUGAGAAGCUUCGACUAAGGUUCGAUUCGAGCGCAGCGAAAGCGUUACCGAACGCGCUUGACGAGAGCGAAAGCGCGCAGCUGAGUAUCCUCCCCACCACCA